Molecule: long non-coding RNA, 2380 nt
Organism: Salvia splendens (bonfire salvia)
Lineage: Eukaryota; Viridiplantae; Streptophyta; Magnoliopsida; Lamiales; Lamiaceae
Exons: 2
Source: RefSeq, a predicted model, not a curated record
CUCACUAGACCGGCCAACCCGUAUGCUGGCACACGGUCUACCAUAGGUGUACACUAAUCCAAGUAGGGUUUGCGGCCCUACAAGGACCCGAAUUCGAUUUAUAUAAUAAAUGGCAAAGCCAUUUCAGAUAGGUACGUUAAAACAAAAUAGGGCAUGAUAAACGUAUUUUCAUUUCUUUUCCAUCGAUAAAAUAGUUAGGACAAAGUCCUUAAUUAAAAGAAAGUCCACCUCGUUCGCUUAUUUUCUUCAACUUAGAUUAUUCCACUCCAAGUCAACUUGCUUGCGGUGAAAGCCUUUUUUGGGAGUUAAAUAAAAUACAUUCAUCAAUACAAGGAUCCACAAGAUGCAUCCAUCUUAAGGCUUCGAUUAUUUUUAUCAAUCGGAUUACGAAUUUUCCCAAUUAAAAUCAGUCCAAGGAAUAAAACAACCAUUCUCGGCCCACUCGAAAAGAAACAGCCCAAGCCCUUAAUCUAUUAAACCCAUUUGAAGAAUAAAGAAAAAAAAUGAAAGAACUCCCUUUCCCAACGUACACAUACACACGUAUACUCCCCCACUUCCAUUUUAAAUCCAAGAUAAAAAAUAUUACGGUAAUAAACAAUUAAACCAAUUAAGAAAUAAAACAAUUGGGAAAAGAACCCCAUUCGAACAGUUAUCAGCGGCGAGAUUCGAUUGUAGGAUCAAACUAGCGCAGGUAUGUUCUGCUCCAGGUCUCUAACGUUUCUGUUAUUGAUUUUUUUCAGAUUGCUUUUUCUGUUAUUGAUUUUUUUCAGAUUGCUUCUUCUGUUAUUGCUUUUUGAUCUACUUUAUUUAUCAACUAGAUUCACGAUUCUAGCGUUUCUGUUGUUGCUUUUUUUUUCAAAUUGUUUGAAUUGAGAGAAUGAGUAAUUGGAUCCUGUGAAGCCGAGACUCUGGUGAGUGAACUGCUUCUGGACUUUUGUAAUGAAUUAUAUAGAUAUGUGAUUCAUAUUUGAGUGGAAUGUUGAGCUGGUUAACUGCUUUUGUGAUUGAGAUUGCAUUGAGUUUGAUGUAAUUGUGAUGUUCAUUUGAUAUUGUUUACUCUUUACAUUGUAAACUGGAAAUUAAAUCAUUAGUAGCAUGAGAUAAUUGAGCUAACCAUACAUUAAACAAUAUUGAGAAAUAGGGAGGUGACGUUUAGUUAUAUGUUAGCUAUGGAUUGCUCACUGCUCACUUACAAUUAUACUUUUUUCCAGUCAUCCGUUCAUUGUUAAACCCCUCUCUAGUCAAAAUUUUGACUGGAAUAGAAAGGUUGAUUAAAUUUUAUAAGAACAAUUAAGAAACAGAACCAUAAAUAUAAGUAUUGAUUAUUGAAGGAGAUUCACUAUUGUUCCAGCUAUGUUUAUUUGUUGUUUCUCACAAUCAUAACAAACACAUUAGUAUUGAUCCCAUAUCUUCAUGUGAUUGUACAUAAAAAUGGAGUAUAAAAUAUAUCAUGUUGCAGAUUUGUGCUUCUGUUGGAGGGCACAAAGUUAUAUAACUAACCCAAUAAAAUCAACUCACCUCGUUUCUCAUUGAUUAGGAGCUGCCAACUCUGUAAAUACUAAAAAAUCCUCAAUCGGUUUACACACUUAUCUGAUUUAUAGAUUUGUUUACUUUUGUGUAAAUUGUAACGAUGUCAAAAACUUGGAAAAGUUUUCAAAGGGGUAAGAGUCCAUUCCUGUUGGAAAAUAAACAUCGAUUCGAAGUUAAUAAGUUGCAAAAGCUUUUGAUUUACUGAGAUUUAUGUGCGGUAGAAGCCAAAUUUGAUUUUUGAGCUCACUGAUUUUAUUUCUAAGGGGAGAUUUCAUUUUGCAGCUGUCUUUCAAGAUGCAAAUUGGUAAUAGGUAUAUCUCCUAAUUGUACCAUUUCUCAUUUGCAAAAUUCAUGUUUCUGCAAAUGAAUGAAUAUGCUUCGAGUGUGUGUGAUUUCCUUAACUACCAUUCCGUCAGACCAGAAAAUUGAUCUUAAACUUCCUGAUUUUGGCAGCCUACACAUUGUGUUAUUAAUUUUUUGAGAGUUUCCUUGAUCUCAGUGAAAGUAUGGAGCCACAUAUGAAGUAAGUAUCUUCUUGGUCCUAAACCUAGAUUGUGUUAAUAUGGGUAUUUCUAUCAAUGCUGCAGGAAAUCGAAAAAUUGCGGGAGCUGGUAAAGGUCCGUAGUCAACAAGUUCAAGAGAUGAGAAGAAGUGCAUAAAUUUAGGAAGUGUUAGGUUUGACAUCUAUGUUUAUGGAAGAAAAGGGGGUUUUUUUUACUAUUCUAGCUUCAUGGUCAGCAAGUUAGGAAACAAUGGUUUGACAACUAUCAUUUUGGAAGAUUCAAAUCAUUCGUUUGGUUUGAAGUGUAAAACAAUAUUUUUAGUUUUAUGUAAAAUUUAAAUUUUGUCA